This 477-nucleotide ribosomal RNA is filed under the name uncultured bacterium. RNAcentral describes it as "partial 16S ribosomal RNA". It matches the Rfam family "Bacterial small subunit ribosomal RNA", at positions 28 to 523 of the family's 1533-position model. The record is from RNAcentral.
GACGAACGCUGGCGGCGUGCUUAACACAUGCAAGUCGAACGGUAAGGCCCUUCGGGGUACACGAGUGGCGAACGGGUGAGUAACACGUGGGUGAUCUGCCCUGCACUUCGGGAUAAGCCUGGGAAACUGGGUCUAAUACCGGAUAGGACCACUGCCUGCAUGGGUGGUGGUGGAAAGCUUUUGCGGUGUGGGAUGGGCCGCGGCCUAUCAGCUUGUUGGUGGGGUGAUGGCCUACCAAGGCGACGACGGGUAGCCGGCCUGGGAGGGUGACCGGCCACACUGGGACUGAGAUACGGCCCAGACUCCUACGGAAGGCAGCAGUGGGGAAUAUUGCACAAUGGGCGCAAGCCUGAUGCAGCGACGCCGCGUGAGGGAUGACGGCCUUCGGGUUGUAAACCUCUUUCAGCACCGACGAAGCGCAAGUGACGGUAGGUGCAGAAGAAGGACCGGCCAACUACGUGCCAGCCGCCGCGGUAA